UACGGGGGGGGCAAGCGUUGUUCGGAAUUACUGGGCGUAAAGGGCUCGUAGGCGGCCAACUAAGUCAGACGUGAAAUCCCUCGGCUUAACCGGGGAACUGCGUCUGAUACUGGAUGGCUUGAGUUUGGGAGAGGGAUGCGGAAUUCCAGGUGUAGCGGUGAAAUGCGUAGAUAUCUGGAGGAACACCGGUGGCGAAGGUGGCAUCCUGGACCAACACUGACGCUGAUGAGCGAAAGCCAGGGGAGCAAACGGG
RNAcentral lists this ribosomal RNA (253 nucleotides) under uncultured bacterium. Its description in RNAcentral is "partial 16S ribosomal RNA". It matches the Rfam family "Bacterial small subunit ribosomal RNA", at positions 524 to 776 of the family's 1533-position model. The record is from RNAcentral.